CCUCACUUCCCGGCCUGGGCUCCGCUUGCCUUCGCGGGGCUCCUUCCCGCCCCCGCAAGGCCCGCGGCCCGGUUCUGCGCUGCCCGCUUCUACGUCUCAGGCCCACUUUCCUGCCUGGGCCUGGGCGCCUCCUACGUGCGUCCUUCCCCAGGCCGCCCCCCCCACACACACCUAGCGACACCUCGGGUCUCCAAGGACUGCCCCUUCCCGGGGCGCCCAGCAGGCCGGUGCCUUCGGACCCCGGGUGGGCCGACGGGGCUCGGAAGGUUCAAGCCCUCUGCUUUCCCGGGUUCCGCUCUCCCUGGGAUGGACUUAAAUGCAGGACCCGUUUCUCGGCCCUCUCUGCCCUGGGAGCUUUCAGCCACCCUGUAGCUGAAACAGACCGGUGUUCUGAUGAUCAUCUUCAUACCAAGACUUCUGAGCACGGAAAUCUACAUCCAGCAGCCCGUUUGGUUAUGCCCUCUUGACGUCCUUUGGGCGUCUCAAAUGUAAGGUGAAAUGAGGCUAAUGCAGUCUAGAAAGCAGAAAGGAUCAUAAAAGAGGAUACCAUUCUGAGAAGACACCAUACAUUUGGUACAAUAUUCUGGAAAAGGCUACUUCAUUAACCCUCACAUUUCACUGGAAUCAAGACUCUGGACAACUGAAUACACAGGUAAAUCUGGAUAUGGAUAAAGGGAAGAAUGAGUAUAAAUAUUACUGUGUUCUAAUCCUAAACUAAAGUAAAAUAGGCCAACUGGAUCACUGCAGUAUUUUAACCUGGAUGAAAGACAAGUAUUAUGGGAGAAGAAAAAAGACACUGAAAGAUGGAGUUACAUUAAAGUUAAGAUUUACCUUUCUUAGUCUUCCUAUCAGAAGUAGGAGUUCCAGAGAGAAAACGAUUGAAGAAGCAAUUCAAGAGAAUUUUCCUGGAAUUAACUGGGAGGAUUUCCAAAUUAGAAUACUCACAGAUUAUCCUACACAAGUAGUGAAAAAAAAAUCUUUAAUGCAUGUUGUGGAUAAAUUUUGAGGCAUCAGAGAUAGAGAUAUAAUGAAAGCAGCCAUAAAACAAGAUCAUAUACAAAACAACAGAAAUUGGACUUCUCAGCAACAGCACUCAACACCUGAGGAAUGCCUUUGCCUUUCAGAAUUCUAAGGUGAAAAUAUUCCAUGCUAAAUCUCAGAACUCGGCCAAGCAAUCUGUCAUGUGUGAGGAGGGAUAAAGGUAUUUUUAAAUGGAGAAUAUGACAAUAGAUUCUGGGGAACUCCAACCCAGAGUGAAGAGGGUUUUUCAGGAUCCUGUACCAGUACCACUUGCAUUGGAUGUGGAUCUGCACAUUUUUAUUCUCUAAGCUUUUCAAGAUUGCAUCAGCGUGUUGCUCAGCUUCUCUCCGCCUUUAGCCUGGCUUUCUAGAAUCAGUAAAUACUCCAGGGUUAAGCAGCCCUGAAUACUACAUCCUCUCUGGAUUCUUCAUUUUCUCCUGGAUUUGAGUUCUGUGAUUCUUCACUGCUUGU
Long non-coding RNA from Condylura cristata (star-nosed mole), 1491 nucleotides. RefSeq lists it as uncharacterized. The transcript has 5 exons. NCBI's taxonomy places the organism in Eukaryota, Metazoa, Chordata, Mammalia, Eulipotyphla, Talpidae. The record is from RefSeq and is a predicted model, not a curated record.